This 85-nucleotide non-coding RNA is filed under the name Lysinibacillus sphaericus. Its description in RNAcentral is "c-di-GMP sequence". It matches the Rfam family "c-di-GMP-I riboswitch aptamer". Rfam says of the family: GEMM was predicted in a large-scale screen for bacterial structured RNA regulatory elements. Genes associated with GEMM are involved in a diverse array of functions, including chemotaxis regulation, signal transduction, secretion and chitin. Lineage: Bacteria; Bacillati; Bacillota; Bacilli; Caryophanales; Bacillaceae. The record is from RNAcentral.
UGUAAUGAUAGGCGAAUCUACUGAAGAGUAGAGACGCAAAGCUACAGGUCUAAAGCAUUAAUGCUAUGACGGCUGGGUUGCCAAA